Molecule: ribosomal RNA, 226 nt
Filed under: uncultured bacterium
Lineage: Bacteria
Description: partial 16S ribosomal RNA
Rfam family: Bacterial small subunit ribosomal RNA
Source: RNAcentral
GCGUUGUCCGGAACCAUUGGGCGUAAAGCGCGUGUAGGCGGCCCGGUAAGUCCGCUGUGAAAGUCGGGGGCUCAACCCUCGAAUGCCGGUGGAUACUGUCGGGCUAGAGUGCGGGAGAGGCGAGUGGAAUUUCUGGUGUAGCGGUGAAAUGCGCAGAUAUCAGGAGGAACACCAAUUGCGAAGGCAGCUCGCUGGAACGUAACUGACGCUGAGACGCGAAAGCGUG